This 403-nucleotide ribosomal RNA is filed under the name Fusobacteriota bacterium. RNAcentral's name for it is "Fusobacteria bacterium partial 16S ribosomal RNA". It matches the Rfam family "Bacterial small subunit ribosomal RNA", at positions 355 to 776 of the family's 1533-position model. The record is from RNAcentral. Lineage: Bacteria; Fusobacteriati; Fusobacteriota.
UGGGGAAUAUUGCACAAUGGAGGGAACUCUGAUGCAGCGACGCCGCGUGAACGAAGAAGGCUUUCGAGUCGUAAAGUUCUUUUAUAUGGGAAGAUAAUGACGGUACCAUAAGAAAAAGCCCCGGCUAACUACGUGCCAGCAGCCGCGGUAAUACGUAGGGGGCUAGCGUUGUCCGGAAUCACUGGGCGUAAAGGGUUCGCAGGCGGAAAUGCAAGUCAGGUGUAAAAGGCAGUAGCUUAACUACUGUAAGCAUUUGAAACUGCAUAUCUUGAGAAGAGUAGAGGUAAGUGGAAUUUUUAGUGUAGCGGUGAAAUGCGUAGAUAUUAAAAAGAAUACCGGUGGCGAAGGCGACUUACUGGACUCAUACUGACGCUGAGGAACGAAAGCGUGGGUAGCAAACAGG